This 239-nucleotide unclassified non-coding RNA is filed under the name Hevea brasiliensis (rubber tree). The record is from RNAcentral. Lineage: Eukaryota; Viridiplantae; Streptophyta; Magnoliopsida; Malpighiales; Euphorbiaceae.
UGGAAAGGCCCCCUUAAGGGUUAGGUUAGUCAAUCCGGCCCGAGACGCGUUCGUUGACAAAACCGCCGUAGGAAUAGAGACCUUUCAAUAGAGCGGAGGCGAACUGAUCAACGAGAAAGAGGCCCUACUCACUNAACGAAUACACCACAAGAUCGAACUGCACUCAUGCCUCUCCCGCAUCAAGUUGACCACCCCCCCCUAUGUAGUGAUUCUAUCAAUCAUGUACGUAGGUAGGCCCC